Long non-coding RNA from Balaenoptera musculus (blue whale), 348 nucleotides. RefSeq lists it as uncharacterized. NCBI's taxonomy places the organism in Eukaryota, Metazoa, Chordata, Mammalia, Artiodactyla, Balaenopteridae. The transcript is spliced from 2 exons. The record is from RefSeq and is a predicted model, not a curated record.
AUUUGCGUAUCUCCUCAUCAGAACUGAGACUACUCCUUGGGGCUACCUAAAGUCAUGAAGACUUUUUGCUAACUUUGGCUGCACUGGUGCUCUUUUCCCAGGUCAUUCCAGGCAGCACUGACAAAUGCUGGAAUCUUCGUGGCUCCUGCCAUGACAAAUGUCCAAGAAUGAAAAAGUCUAUGUUUUCUGCAUGAGCGGUAAACUGUGCUGUGUGAAGCCCAAGUUCCAGCCAAAUAUAUCGCCAAAGUUAAUUAAUGCUUGAAGCUCGAGGGCACAAAAAUGAGGAUAACCCUGCCCUGAGUCUGACCUCAGCAGAUUCUUGAGUUUUAUUAAAAGAAUUUUGGCUGA